AUUGAUGGUAGGAAACAGAUUCCGUUGAAGGGAGUACUUCUCAAUUCCCCACUAUAUAAUGGCGACAGAACUGAAGGCUAAGCCCUCUUGUCUCCGAAAGCCCAAACCCUCUGCCUCCAAGAUCUUCUUUCUCAGAGGCAGAGAAAGGUUGAUGGGGGCCGAAGGAGAGAUGCGCUGCCCCCUUAUCAGCAAUAACGGCGGGCAAUCUCCUCACCCUCGUUCCCCUGGUCCAGCCAUCCUCGGCCUCCAGCCCUCAGCCCUCCUCGACCACGUCGCCAGGGUCGAUUGGUCGCUCCUCGAACGGAUCCCGGGCGAUCGCGGCGGCUCUCAGCAGAUUGCUAUUGAGGAUUUGAAUCAUAUAUUGACGGAAGUCGAUACAUGCAUUCUCCCAUACAUUGAUGGCAUUUCUCCUAUAAGGACCAUAGCUGGGGGUAGUGGUGCCAAUACCAUCAGGGGUCUGGCUGCAGGCUUUGGGCUCUCAUGCGGAAUAAUCGGUGCUUUUGGUGAUGAUGAGCAAGGCCAUAAAUUCAUCCAUAAUAUGAGCUUUAGUGGUGUGGAUCUUUCAAGAUUGAGAAUGAAGAAGGGACCUACUGGGCAGUGUGCAUGUUUGGUCGAUGCUGAUGGCAACCGUACCAUGAGGCCUUGUCUAUCGAAUGCUGUUAAACUCCUGGCUGAUGAGUUAAAAGGUGAGGAUUUUAGAGGUUCAAAGUGGCUGGUAUUGAGAUACGCACAUUUCAAUUUGGAAAUAAUCAAUGCUGCUAUUAAAAUUGCUAAACAAGAGGGGGUCUCUGUUUCCAUGGACUUGGCCAGUUUUGAGAUGGUAAGAGACUCCAGGUCGCACCUCGUAAAUUUACUGGAGAGUGGUAAUAUUGAUCUUUGUUUUGCCAAUGAGGAUGAAGCUAGAGAGCUUGUAAGAGUGCCUCGCAUGCUAAACAGUUUGGAGGGAUCACAUAGAGUGAUAAAAAGCGAGAUGAAUAUAUUGACAGAAAACUCAAAUGCCUCAAACUUAUUGUUGCAUCUUCAUGAUUGGAUAUUCUUCUACUAUGCCUCAAACUUAUCUGCAAAUGGGCUGUUGUGACGCUUGGCCUCCAAAGGAUGCAUUGCAAAGCAGGGUAAAGAGGUUGUCCGAGUUCCAGCUAUAGGGGAGGCACAUGCCAUUGAUGCCACAUGAGCUGGUGAUCUCUUUGGCAGUGGUUUUUUGUACGGGUUGGUAAAAGGGCUUCCAACUUGAAGAGUGCUGCAAGGUGGGCUCCUGUAGUGGUGGCUCUGUGAUACAAUCUCUUGGUGGUGAAGUGAGACCAGAAAACUGGCAGUGGAUGUACAAGCAGAUGCAGGCCAGGGGUCUGUUGCUUCCAGAUCUUAAAAACUAAACUCACCUACUUGUUUACGCUGUUAAGACUUCUCUUUUGUUGUGGCGAUGUUUUGUAAGAAGGGGAAGCAUAAUAUUGCAUUUUGGGGGCCAGUCCAGGUGAUUAUUAAGUGUAGUAGAUUAACUCAAAUUUGUGUCCGUA
This is an RNA transcript of Elaeis guineensis (African oil palm), 1511 nucleotides long. RefSeq lists it as uncharacterized. NCBI's taxonomy places the organism in Eukaryota, Viridiplantae, Streptophyta, Magnoliopsida, Arecales, Arecaceae. The record is from RefSeq and is a predicted model, not a curated record.